GACGAACGCUGGCGGCGUGCUUAACACAUGCAAGUCGAGCGGUAAGGCCCUUUCGGGGGUACACGAGCGGCGAACGGGUGAGUAACACGUGGGUGACCUGCCCUCAGCUCUGGGAUAAGCCUGGGAAACUGGGUCUAAUACUGGAUAUGACUCCACGGUGCAUGUCGUGGGGUGGAAAGCCUUGUGCGGCUGAGGAUGGGCCCGCGGCCUAUCAGCUUGUUGGUGGGGUGAANGGCCUACCAAGGCGACGACGGGUAGCCGGCCUGAGAGGGCGACCGGCCACACUGGGACUGAGACACGGCCCAGACUCCUACGGGAGGCAGCAGUGGGGAAUCUUGCGCAAUGGGCGAAAAGCCUGACGCAGCGACGCCGCGUGAGGGAUGACGGCCU
RNAcentral lists this ribosomal RNA (390 nucleotides) under uncultured bacterium. Its description in RNAcentral is "bacterial SSU rRNA". It matches the Rfam family "Bacterial small subunit ribosomal RNA", at positions 28 to 417 of the family's 1533-position model. The record is from RNAcentral.